AUGAUUCAUGCGGAACGCUGGGUUGAAAUCCAAGCAGAAGCCAGGGAUUGGUUCAAGAAACAGGCUGAAGACAAAAAAGCAAGGGAGAUCGAGCCACCGCUAGUAGAUCGAAGAGAAUUAAAUUUUUUUUAUGAGGAUGCAAGAAGGAGCCAAAAAGAGGAUACCACUACUAUCGAACUACGAACGGGCGUUAGUCAAGGCUGAUGAGAGGAAAAAAAGGAAAGGAAAGUCAUCUUCCAGUGGUGCUGUCCCCGACCUUGAGCAUCUACCAGAAAAAGACG
This 281-nucleotide long non-coding RNA is filed under the name Setaria viridis. RNAcentral describes it as "long non-coding RNA (SVIR_LNC007894)". Lineage: Eukaryota; Viridiplantae; Streptophyta; Magnoliopsida; Poales; Poaceae. The record is from RNAcentral.